AGAGUUUGAUCCUGGCUCAGGAUGAACGCUAGCGGCAGGCCUAAUACAUGCAAGUCGAACGGUAAGUAUUUUAGUAAUAAGAUACGAGAGUGACGUACGGGUGCGUAACACGUAUGCAACCUACCCAAAACAGGAGGAUAGCUCAGGGAAACUUGGAUUAACCCUCCGUAAGAUUGUAGAGUGGCAUCAUUCAGCAAUUAAAACUACGGUGGUUUUGGAUGGGCAUGCGUAUGAUUAGUUAGUUGGUAGUGUAACGGACUACCAAGACGAUGAUCAUUAGGGGACCUGAGAGGGUGAUCCCCCACACUGGCACUGAGAUACGGGCCAGACUCCUACGGGAGGCAGCAGUAGGGAAUAUUGGUCAAUGGGUGAGAGCCUGAACCAGCCAUGCCGCGUGCAGGAAGACGGCCUUCUGGGUUGUAAACUGCUUUUGUCAGGGGGUAAAAGACCCAUGCGUGGGAAAUUGAAAGUACCUGGCGAAUAAGCCACGGCUAACUACGUGCCAGCAGCCGCGGUAAUACGUAGGUGGCAAGCGUUGUCCGGAUUUAUUGGGUUUAAAGGGUGCGUAGGCGGCCCUGUAAGUCAGUGCUGAAAUAUCCCGGCUUAACCGGGAGGGUGGCAUUGAUACUGCGGGGCUUGAGUACAGAUGAGGUAGGCGGAAUUGACGGUGUAGCGGUGAAAUGCAUAGAUAUCGUCAAGA
This 700-nucleotide ribosomal RNA is filed under the name uncultured bacterium. Its description in RNAcentral is "bacterial SSU rRNA". It matches the Rfam family "Bacterial small subunit ribosomal RNA", at positions 8 to 705 of the family's 1533-position model. The record is from RNAcentral.